Long non-coding RNA from Hyaena hyaena (striped hyena), 196 nucleotides. RefSeq lists it as uncharacterized. The transcript has 2 exons. NCBI's taxonomy places the organism in Eukaryota, Metazoa, Chordata, Mammalia, Carnivora, Hyaenidae. The record is from RefSeq and is a predicted model, not a curated record.
CCGCGCAAGAGCUUCGCGGCGGCUUUCGCCUGCGAGAGAUUCGGCGCCCGUCGGCGUUCCGGGGCGCGCGGCUCGUGGCAGCCCGUCUACCAAUGGAGGCAAACCAGGAGCGGAAGGAUGACUCCCUGUAAACGUGGGCUCGUGGAUGGGGUGCUGUUAAGUCGGGAUCCCGAUACGCUUGCUUCAACCGGCUGCG